GUGGGGAAUAUUGCACAAUGGGCGGAAGCCUGAUGCAGCAACGCCGCGUGCGGGAUGACGGCCUUCGGGUUGUAAACCGCUUUCAGCAGGGACGAAGCGCAAGUGACGGUACCUGCAGAAGAAGCACCGGCUAACUACGUGCCAGCAGCCGCGGUGAUACGUAGGGUGCGAGCGUUGUCCGGAUUUAUUGGGCGUAAAGAGCUUGUAGGCGGUUGGUUGCGUCGAAAGUGCAAACUCAGGGCUUAACUCUGAGCCUGCUUUCGAUACGGGCUGACCGGAGGAAGGUAGGGGAGAAUGGAAUUCCCGGUGGAGCGGUGGAAUGCGCAGAUAUCGGGAGGAACACCAGUGGCGAAGGCGGUUCUCUGGACCUUUCCUGACGCUGAGAAGCGAAAGCGUGGGGAGCAAACAGGCUUAGAUACCCGAGUAGUCC
This 430-nucleotide ribosomal RNA is filed under the name uncultured bacterium. Its description in RNAcentral is "partial 16S ribosomal RNA". It matches the Rfam family "Bacterial small subunit ribosomal RNA", at positions 354 to 796 of the family's 1533-position model. The record is from RNAcentral.